GAUGAACGCUGGCGGCGUGCCUAAUACAUGCAGGUCGAGCGAACAGACGAGGAGCUUGCUCCUCUGACGUUAGCGGCGGACGGGUGAGUAACACGUGGAUAACCUACCUAUAAGACUGGGAUAACUUCGGGAAACCGGAGCUAAUACCGGAUAAUAUAUUGAACCGCAUGGUUCAAUAGUGAAAGACGGUUUUGCUGUCACUUAUAGAUGGAUCCGCGCCGCAUUAGCUAGUUGGUAAGGUAACGGCUUACCAAGGCAACGAUGCGUAGCCGACCUGAGAGGGUGAUCGGCCACACUGGAACUGAGACACGGUCCAGACUCCUACGGGAGGCAGCAGUAGGGAAUCUUCCGCAAUGGGCGAAAGCCUGACGGAGCAACGCCGCGUGAGUGAUGAAGGUCUUUGGAUCGUAAAACUCUGUUAUUAGGGAAGAACAAAUGUGUAAGUAACUAUGCACGUCUUGACGGUACCUAAUCAGAAAGCCACGGCUAACUACGUG
Molecule: ribosomal RNA, 497 nt
Filed under: uncultured bacterium
Lineage: Bacteria
Description: partial 16S ribosomal RNA
Rfam family: Bacterial small subunit ribosomal RNA
Source: RNAcentral